UACGUAGGGGGCAAGCGUUGUCCGGAAUCAUUGGGCGUAAAGAGCGUGUAGGCGGCCAGAUAAGUCCGUUGUGAAAGUCCAAGGCUCAACCUUUGAAAGCCGAUGGAUACUGCCGGGCUAGAGUCCGGAAGAGGCGAGUGGAAUUCCUGGUGUAGCGGUGGAAUGCGCAGAUAUCAGGAGGAACACCGAUAGCGAAGGCAGCUCGCUGGGACGGUACUGACGCUGAGGCGCGAAAGCGUGGGGAGCGAACAGG
RNAcentral lists this ribosomal RNA (253 nucleotides) under uncultured bacterium. Its description in RNAcentral is "partial 16S ribosomal RNA". It matches the Rfam family "Bacterial small subunit ribosomal RNA", at positions 524 to 776 of the family's 1533-position model. The record is from RNAcentral.